AUGGCGGAGAACGUACGGUCGCCUUUCGACUACCGGGAGCCGCCGACCCUCGACAGCGACGGGGACGGGAGCAAACCUCCGCCGCCACGGGGACGCGUAUGUGGAAGAAAACGGAAGGGCACUCCUGUGAAGGUGUGUGAUCGCGCCUACGUGACCGAAGAUGAAGAGGAAGAGAGCAUGUCUGAGCACAGCUACAGCCCUGGGGAUGGCCAGUACCCAGAGGGGGCAGAGGACCGCCUCCCGCCGCCGGGAAGCCCCUACUACCUGGCCGACCCGUCCCAGCUAUGCGUGCCCGAGCUUGGCGAGGACGGCUCCAGCGGCGUGCGCGGCCCCGUGCUCUUCCACCCGCCGCCCAACUGCCGCAUCCGGGAGGUGCACUGCGGGAGCCAGGUGCGGCUGGUCGUCAUAGCGAUCCGGGACAUCGCCAAGGGCGAGGAGAUCACGGUGGACUACAGCCUCACGGACUGGGGCGAGAACGCCAUGGAGGAAGAGGCAGGGCCACACCCUCUCUCCCUCUCGGUCUCGGAUUACCUCACCCCCUCCUGGUCGCUCUCCCCCUCCUCCUCCCCCCUCACGCACUCUGAGCCCAGCGACUCGGACCGCGAGGAGGAGGAGGAAGAGGAGGAGGAGGAGGAAGACGACGACGAUGACGACGACGAGGAAGAGGACCUGGAGGAGAUGCGCGGCCGCAUGCUCCGGCGCCGCAAGAAGCGCAAGAUGGCCGCCGCCGCCGUCAACCCCAAGAAGAAGAGCUCCGCCCCGCCGCCCCCCACACCGGCGGCGGCGGCGGCGGCCACCUCGUCCCGCGGGCCCGGCCGCCCCUGCUCCUCGUUCCCGCGGCCCUCGGCGGCCCCGCCCCCCCGCUCCCAGUCGCAGCCGCCGCCGCCGGUGAGCGCGCUGGCCCCGCCCACCACCAACAUCAACAACAACAUCAACAUCAACAUCGGGGGGGCGUCGGGCGUGGCGGCGGCGGCGGCGGCAGGGAGCCGGCGGCAGCACUGCCCGUACUGCGGGCGCCACUAUCGCUCGCUGGCACGCCACCUGGAGAAGCACCACGCGGGGCAGCCCGAGGUGCGCGCCGCCAUGGAGCUAGCGCACCUGCACGCUAACGGCGGCGGCGGCUCGCACGCGCGCGCCGCCUCCUCCUCCACCUCCUCCGCGUCGGCCCCCUGCGCCGCCGCCGCCGCGCCGCACGGCCACUCCUUCGCCGUCCCGCAGCCCUCGUCCUCCUCCAACCCCACCCCGCCGCCGCUCUUCUCCUCCUCCUCCUCCUCCUCCUCCUCCCGGGAGCGGGAGUCGCCCGCCACGCGCUCGGCCGGCCCCGCCGUCUCCUUCUCGCUCUCCCUGUCGCCGCCGUCCCUGGCCCCGCCCGCCGCCGCCGCCGCCGCCGGCAGCAGGAAGGGCGGCGGGCCGACGGCGCCGGCCGCCAAGCGCGGCGCCGGCGCCUGUCAGGCGGCGUCCCGGGUCAAGAGCCCCUCGCCACCGCCGCCCCCGGCCGCCCCGCCGCCGCAGGUGGCCCCGCCCCCUCCGGCGCCGGCCUCCUCGCCGCCCGCCCCCCGGAGGGGCCAGAGGAUGAAGAGGGAGAAGCAGGAGGAGCAGCAGAAGGUGGAGAAGGAGGAGCUGGCGCCCCCGCCCACGCCGGAGCCCCACCUGGACCAGGAGGAGGAGCUAGAGCUGAGCGCCGAGGGCGAGGAGGAGGAGGAGGACGCGCCGGAGGAGACCAACGGAGAGCUGCUCAGCGCCCACCGACAGCACAUCUCGCCGCUGCUGUCCUCGCUGUCCUGCCUGGUGCUGUACCUGCGCCGGCAGCAGCACGCCUCCUUCCUGUCGCUCACGCGCUCGCCGCACUCGGCCGAGGCGUGGCGCCUGCUGUGCCACUCCAGCCUCUCGCUGCUCAUCCUCUACAACCGCCACCGCGAGUGCGAGGUGGCCAAACUCUCGCUGCAGGACUACCGCAACCGCACCCUGCCGCCGCCGCCGCCGCCCGCCCCGCCGGCCCCGGCCGCCGGCGGCCCCGCCCCUCCGCCGCCGGCCCCGCCCACCGGCACGGAGGCCCUCCUCUCGCCCUUCGAGCGCCACGUCCUCUGCCACCUGCCGCGGGCGGGGGUGGUGGGCAAGCGGGGCCGCGUGCAGCCGCUCAUCCUGCCGCCGCACAGCGAGGCGUGCCUGGAGCUGCUGCUGCAGACCAGCCCCAACGUGGGCGUGGACCCGGGCAGCCCCUACGUGUUCUCCCGGCCGUACCACUCGCCGGCCACGCCGCUGCGCGGCACCGACCUCCUGCGGAACCUGGCGCGCGCCAGCGGCGCCAAGAACCCCGGCGCGCUCACGGGCACCCGGGUGCGGCGGCAGGUGGCCAUCCUCAGCCAGCUGCUGCUGCUGGAGGAAGGGGGCGAGGGUCCGGCCGCCGCCGCCGCCGCCGCCGCCGCCGCGGGAGGGGCUCCAGCUCCGGCCGGCAGGGCCACCCAGCGGCUGGAGGAGUUCCUGGAGCGGGAGUACCACGUGACGCAGAACUGCGCCACCAUCGUGCGGGACCCGGCGCUGAUGGGCCGGGUGGGCAGGGUGGUGCUGUACGGCGAGCGGGAGGGCGUGCUGUUCCGGGGGAUGAGCCUUCAGCACAUCUGCCUGGAGCUGGACGUGAUGUCCGGCAACUCUGGGGACUCGUUUUCGGACGACUCUGACGGAGAAGGGGCGGAGAAGGAGGAGGUGAAGGUGGAGGUGGCGGUGGCCAAGAAGAAGGGGCCGGGCCGACCUCCCCGGAAGAAGAGGGGGCCCAUCGCCACCCCCGUCAACACCAUGCUUCCUGUCGCCCAUAAAAGGAGAUGCGUCCAGCCCAAAUCCGGGAAGCGCGGCGUGCUGAAGCGGCCGUGGUCGGAGGCGGAGCGUGUGGCGGUGGAGACCCACCUGAAGAGGAACAUCGUGGAGCUGCGCGUUCCCGCCAAGGCGGACUGCGAGCGCUGCUUGGAGCUCUGCCCCCUACUGGUCAGCAACCACAGAGACUGGCGCUCCAUCAAGUUCUACGUCCACAACCGCAUCCAGCUGCUGAAGAAGCAGGGGAGGCGGGAGAGCAGCGGGGCCGGGGCGGCCUGUUAG
Molecule: long non-coding RNA, 3090 nt
Filed under: Gadus morhua (Atlantic cod)
Lineage: Eukaryota; Metazoa; Chordata; Actinopteri; Gadiformes; Gadidae
Description: lncRNA (ENSGMOG00000023940.1)
Source: RNAcentral